RNAcentral lists this long non-coding RNA (582 nucleotides) under Elaeis guineensis (African oil palm). RNAcentral describes it as "long non-coding RNA (EGUI_LNC079742)". The record is from RNAcentral. Lineage: Eukaryota; Viridiplantae; Streptophyta; Magnoliopsida; Arecales; Arecaceae.
CCUCUACCACCACGACCACGACCACGACACAGAGGAAUGCAUCCAGCUCCAGGACGAGAUCGAGGAGCUCAUUCGGCGAGGUCGACUUGACAGAUUCAUCCACCGCAGGCCUGAGGGUAGGGGAGACCGUCCAAGAGCCCUUCCACAGCCUGAACCGCCGAGAAGGGAGGAGCAACCCGGGGACCAGCCUCCCAUCGGGACCAUCGACUCCAUCACCGGAGGGCCUCAAGGAGGAGCGGGCCACCCGCGACCGAGGAGCUCGGAAAACCUGUAAAUGUAUCACUUACGAUUUUGCCUUGAAUCUAAUUUUCUUUCUACUUAACGUGCUCUUCCCAUCUGGCGUGGAUUUAUUAUGACUGGAUACGACCCCACCGAACGUUUAAAACACAGCCAUGUCAGGAACAGGAGGAGAACCUCAUCCUGACAUGAGCAAAGUCAAAGGCCCGAUUCUUUAGACCGGAUGGGGGGAGAAGGCCUUACAACGCCCUAAUGUGCCCCCACAGCCAUGUCAGGAACAGGAGGAGAACCUCGUCCUGACAUGAGCAAAGUCGAAGGCCCGAUUCUUUUAGACCGGAUGGGGGG